GGCCAGGUAUAGUGGUAACACCUUUGCUAAACAUAUAUGUGAAAGACCCUGGGUUCAAUUCCCAGUCUGGCCA
Non-coding RNA from Hysterangium stoloniferum, 73 nucleotides. The record is from the annotation of a GenBank genome assembly. Lineage: Eukaryota; Fungi; Basidiomycota; Agaricomycetes; Hysterangiales; Hysterangiaceae.